GGUUGAUCCUGCCAGUAGUCAUAUGCUUGUCUCAAAGAUUAAGCCAUGCAUGUCUAAGUAUAAGCAAUCUAUACGGUGAAACUGCGAAUGGCUCAUUAAAUCAGUUAUCGUUUAUUUGAUAGUACCUUACUACAUGGAUACCUGUGGUAAUUCUAGAGCUAAUACAUGCUGAAAACCUCGACUUCGGAAGGGGUGUAUUUAUUAGAUAAAAAACCAAUGCCCUUCGGGGCUCCUUGGUGAUUCAUAAUAACUAAACGAAUCGCAUGGCCUUGCGCCGGCGAUGGUUCAUUCAAAUUUCUGCCCUAUCAACUUUCGAUGGUAGGAUAGUGGCCUACCAUGGUGGCAACGGGUAACGGGGAAUUAGGGUUCGAUUCCGGAGAGGGAGCCUGAGAAACGGCUACCACAUCCAAGGAAGGCAGCAGGCGCGCAAAUUACCCAAUCCCGAUCCGGGGAGGUAGUGACAAUAAAUACUGAUACAGGGCUCUUUUGGGUCUUGUAAUUGGAAUGAGUACAAUACUAAAUCCCUUAACGAGGAAACAAUUGAAGGGCAAGUCUGGU
RNAcentral lists this ribosomal RNA (558 nucleotides) under uncultured eukaryote. RNAcentral describes it as "SSU rRNA". It matches the Rfam family "Eukaryotic small subunit ribosomal RNA", at positions 6 to 565 of the family's 1831-position model. The record is from RNAcentral.